AUUGAUUGGUGCUUGCAUCAUGAUUUACAUUUGAGUGAGUGGCGAACUGGUGAGUAACACGUGGGAAACCUGCCCAGAAGCGGGGGAUAACACCUGGAAACAGAUGCUAAUACCGCAUAACAACUUGGACCGCAUGGUCCGAGCUUGAAAGAUGGCUUCGGCUAUCACUUUUGGAUGGUCCCGCGGCGUAUUAGCUAGAUGGUGGGGUAACGGCUCACCAUGGCAAUGAUACGUAGCCGACCUGAGAGGGUAAUCGGCCACAUUGGGACUGAGACACGGCCCAAACUCCUACGGGAGGCAGCAGUAGGGAAUCUUCCACAAUGGACGAAAGUCUGAUGGAGCAACGCCGCGUGAGUGAAGAAGGGUUUCGGCUCGUAAAACUCUGUUGUUAAAGAAGAACAUAUCUGAGAGUAACUGUUCAGGUAUUGACGGUAUUUAACCAGAAAGCCACGGCUAACUACGUGCCAGCAGCCGCGGUAAUACGUAGGUGGCAAGCGUUGUCCGGAUUUAUUGGGCGUAAAGCGAGCGCAGGCGGUUUUUUAAGUCUGAUGUGAAAGCCUUCGGCUCAACCGAAGAAGUGCAUCGGAAACUGGGAAACUUGAGUGCAGAAGAGGACAGUGGAACUCCAUGUGUAGCGGUGAAAUGCGUAGAUAUAUGGAAGAACACCAGUGGCGAAGGCGGCUGUCUGGUCUGUAACUGACGCUGAGGCUCGAAAGUAUGGGUAGCAAACAGGAUUAGAUACCCUGGUAGUCCAUACCGUAAACGAUGAAUGCUAAGUGUUGGAGGGUUUCCGCCCUUCAGUGCUGCAGCUAACGCAUUAAGCAUUCCGCCUGGGGAGUACGGCCGCAAGGCUGAAACUCAAAGGAAUUGACGGGGGCCCGCACAAGCGGUGGAGCAUGUGGUUUAAUUCGAAGCUACGCGAAGAACCUUACCAGGUCUUGACAUACUAUGCAAAUCUAAGAGAUUAGACGUUCCCUUCGGGGACAUGGAUACAGGUGGUGCAUGGUUGUCGUCAGCUCGUGUCGUGAGAUGUUGGGUUAAGUCCCGCAACGAGCGCAACCCUUAUUAUCAGUUGCCAGCAUUAAGUUGGGCACUCUGGUGAGACUGCCGGUGACAAACCGGAGGAAGGUGGGGAUGACGUCAAAUCAUCAUGCCCCUUAUGACCUGGGCUACACACGUGCUACAAUGGAUGGUACAACGAGUUGCGAACUCGCGAGAGUAAGCUAAUCUCUUAAAGCCAUUCUCAGUUCGGAUUGUAGGCUGCAACUCGCCUACAUGAAGUCGGAAUCGCUAGUAAUCGCGGAUCAGCAUGCCGCGGUGAAUACGUUCCCGGGCCUUGUACACACCGCC
This 1350-nucleotide ribosomal RNA is filed under the name Lactiplantibacillus plantarum. RNAcentral's name for it is "bacterial SSU rRNA". It matches the Rfam family "Bacterial small subunit ribosomal RNA", at positions 69 to 1394 of the family's 1533-position model. The record is from RNAcentral. Lineage: Bacteria; Bacillati; Bacillota; Bacilli; Lactobacillales; Lactobacillaceae.